CAAAACUCAAAACAAAUCCAGAAUUGAUGCCAUUGUCAUGUUGAAAACGUUUUUGAUCAAGAAGUUCAUCAGGUUCAAACACUUUAAAAGAAUUAAACAUGUUUUCAAAAACAGAAUCUGAAACACGAAAUUCUUUAACCUUGUCAAAACCAAAACGUUUCACAUCUUGAGAACUGAUCUUAACACACAUUUCAGACAGAAAAUUAAUCAAAUCAAG
This 217-nucleotide long non-coding RNA is filed under the name Brassica napus (rape). RNAcentral describes it as "long non-coding RNA (BNAP_LNC015609)". Lineage: Eukaryota; Viridiplantae; Streptophyta; Magnoliopsida; Brassicales; Brassicaceae. The record is from RNAcentral.